Molecule: ribosomal RNA, 207 nt
Filed under: uncultured bacterium
Lineage: Bacteria
Description: partial 16S ribosomal RNA
Rfam family: Bacterial small subunit ribosomal RNA
Source: RNAcentral
CAGAUGUGAAAGCCCGGGGCUCAACCUCGGGAAUUGCAUUUGAAACUGGCAAACUAGAGUACUGUAGAGGGGGUAGAAAUUUUCAGGUGUAGCGGUGAAAUGCGUAGAGAUCUGAAGGAAUACCGGUGGCGAAGGCGGCCCCCUGGACAGAUACUGACACUCAGAUGCGAAAGCGUGGGGAGCAAACAGGAUUAGAUACCCUGGUAG